This 271-nucleotide ribosomal RNA is filed under the name Clostridioides difficile. RNAcentral's name for it is "partial 23S ribosomal RNA". It matches the Rfam family "Bacterial large subunit ribosomal RNA", at positions 2236 to 2505 of the family's 2925-position model. Lineage: Bacteria; Bacillati; Bacillota; Clostridia; Peptostreptococcales; Peptostreptococcaceae. The record is from RNAcentral.
GAAUCUGGUCUUGGGACACUGUCAGGUGGGGCAGUUUGACUGGGGCGGUCGCCUCCCAAAAGGUAACGGAGGCGCUCAAAGGUUCUCUCAGUACGGUCGGAAAUCGUACGUAGAGUGUAAAGGCAAAAGAGAGCUUGAUUGCAAGACAUACAGGUCGAGCAAGGAUGAAAAUCGGACUUAGUGAUCCGGUGGUUCUGCGUGGAAGGGCCAUCGCUCAACGGAUAAAAGCUACCCUGGGGAUAACAGGCUUAUCUCCCCCAAGAGUCCACAU